UUUUGGACCCUCUGAAUGUUAAAUUUCGUUGUUAGCUCUGUUAGCUCCACUGUUAGCGCCGUUGCUAAGAUACGGCUGUGUCAAAUGAGAUAAUCAUCGCUGUAGCAGAAGCACCGUGUCCGGCCCUUUUAUUAAAAUUCUCCCCUUCUUCAGGUAUGAGUAUAUACAUAUACACACACCUGUAGAUUGUACAUUUAUUUCUUAACUUUCAGAAAGAUUGUGAGUUUUUUUUUGGACGCUCUGGAUGUUAAAUUUCGCUGUUAGCUCUGUUAGCUCCACUGUUAGCACAGUUGCUAAGCUACUGCUGUGUCAACGUUGAUAUCGUUGUGUAUGUUUGUAAGUUAACGAGAUAAUAAUAAUAAUCGCUGGAGCAGAAGCACCGUGUCCGGCUCUUUUAUUAAAAUUCUCCCCUUCUUCAGGGCUUUUACAGUGGCAGCAGCAUGAUGUGGGAAUAUUCCUGUUCAUGAAGGACUGGUCAGAUUUCAUGGAACUAAACGUAAAUGUCUCACCUCCACCUUCUCCGCACACACUGGGAAAGCCGGAUCUGUCGGCACCUCGCACGUCUCAUCAGGUCCUGCAGGAGAGACGGGAACAAAAGCAGCAUUGUGCUAAAUAACUGUAGCUUUGAUAAACAACGUCCUGAACGAG
Poecilia reticulata (guppy) is the source of this 648-nucleotide non-coding RNA. The record is from RefSeq and is a predicted model, not a curated record. NCBI's taxonomy places the organism in Eukaryota, Metazoa, Chordata, Actinopteri, Cyprinodontiformes, Poeciliidae.